AUGCCCAUGAUGAGGACAAGCAUUGAGUAAAUCCUUGAACCUCCCCCAGCACUGAUAAAAGGUUUCAGUGUCUUUUUGGGAAAAAUUCAUGAUCUGCCUCUUCAGUGCAU
This is a small nucleolar RNA of Carya illinoinensis, 110 nucleotides long. The record is from RefSeq and is a predicted model, not a curated record. Lineage: Eukaryota; Viridiplantae; Streptophyta; Magnoliopsida; Fagales; Juglandaceae.